Molecule: long non-coding RNA, 983 nt
Filed under: Podarcis muralis (Common wall lizard)
Lineage: Eukaryota; Metazoa; Chordata; Lepidosauria; Squamata; Lacertidae
Description: lncRNA (ENSPMRG00000022200.1)
Source: RNAcentral
UUGAGAGGUGUUAGGCAUACCCUCCAACAUUUGUCCGAUGAAAAUAGGGAUGUCCCGUUCCAUGAUGAUAAUGUUACUAUUUAUACCCCACACAUCUGACUGGGUUGCCCCAGCCACUCUGGGCAGUUUCCAACAUAUAUAAAAAUAUAAUAAAACUUUAAACAUUUUUUAAAAAACCUUCCCUAUACAGGAUUGCCUUCAGACGGCUUGGGGGGUCAGAUAAUUCCAUACCCUCCAACAUUUCUCCAAUGAAAAUAGGGACGUCCUAAGGAAAAGAGGGACAUUUCGGGAUCAAGAUGGAUGACCAGAUGAGCGGGGGUAUUCCUGGACCAGAUAGUAGCAUAGCAGGACCAAAAGGUUUAGAAGGGGGAAGAGGAAGAGAGGGUGAGAGGGGACCAAGGGGCCCCACGGGAUUCCCCGGCUUGAAAGGAACCAGAGUAAGAGCCAAAGAACGAAGAUGCUGACAUUGUUUUCCCUGUGAAAGAACUUCAUGGUGGUAAUGCAAGGCAGACUGCAACUGUCCUAUCACUGGGUCUACUGCCAGCAAUAGGCAGAGAACCCUAAACUCCCUCUUCCACACAUAGAAAUCCCUUUGAGAAUAUUGGAAUUGCAGUUGCGUGAGACUUUCCCCCUUUCUCUAAAUCUUUGCCACUUGAUUCUGGGAAAUGUCUUGAGGCCAAGAAAAGAGUUCUUGUGGGUCCAGAUUCAUGGCAGAGUCUGGACACUGAAAUCAAUAGGGUGCAUCUUCUGUUGGGGGCGGCAGGGAGGUUUCACCAUUGCAUUCUACUAGAAGCUUCCUUCAAAAAGUGUUUGGAAGGUUCGGAUGCUUCAAAGUGUGGCUGCCCAGUUGUUAAAUGGUGCCAGGCAUGGAAAACAUAUUGUUGCAGACCACUCCAGUCUCCAAGCAGUGUGAGAUCCCAGGGUUUGAUUUCUUCUGAAUGAAGGGCAGUGGAGACUGUGGUAUCUUUGUCAUAUAUGGUUUG